Chelonia mydas (Green sea turtle) is the source of this 206-nucleotide long non-coding RNA. RefSeq lists it as uncharacterized. The transcript is spliced from 3 exons. The record is from RefSeq and is a predicted model, not a curated record. NCBI's taxonomy places the organism in Eukaryota, Metazoa, Chordata, Testudines, Cheloniidae.
GGGUUAUUCACAGCCCCUGGUUGUUAGCAAUACGCCUACAGGAAAAAUCCAAGGUGAGAGAGUGAAGUCCAGCUCAGAAAGAUUCCUCCCACUCCCUGUCCAUGAAGUGGAAAUUGAGCCAGAGUGUUAAGUUCCUGGCAGCUGAUGAGAAUGGAUUACUGGUUGGAGAAAGCUAAUCCUGCUGCCUUAUUUUGUGGUGCCUCAAG